GCAUUGUUGGGGUAGUGGUAACCUGGAUCGUUGCCAGUCCAAUUCGAUCCGCCCCGGGUUCAAUUCCCGGACAAUGCA
RNAcentral lists this transfer RNA (78 nucleotides) under Russula ochroleuca. RNAcentral's name for it is "tRNA-Gly". It matches the Rfam family "tRNA". From Rfam's summary of the family: Transfer RNA (tRNA) molecules are approximately 80 nucleotides in length. Their secondary structure includes four short double-helical elements and three loops (D, anti-codon, and T loops). Further hydrogen bonds mediate the characteristic L-shaped molecular structure. tRNAs have two regions of fundamental functional importance: the anti-codon, which is responsible for specific mRNA codon recognition, and the 3' end, to which the tRNAs corresponding amino acid is attached (by aminoacyl-tRNA synthetases). tRNAs cope with the degeneracy of the genetic code in two manners: having more than one tRNA (with a specific anti-codon) for a particular amino acid; and 'wobble' base-pairing, i.e. permitting non-standard base-pairing at the 3rd anti-codon position. Lineage: Eukaryota; Fungi; Basidiomycota; Agaricomycetes; Russulales; Russulaceae. The record is from RNAcentral.